Molecule: ribosomal RNA, 773 nt
Filed under: uncultured Neocallimastigales
Lineage: Eukaryota; Fungi; Neocallimastigomycota; Neocallimastigomycetes; Neocallimastigales
Description: partial large subunit ribosomal RNA
Rfam family: Eukaryotic large subunit ribosomal RNA
Source: RNAcentral
UACACGCUGUGACUAGCAUAUCAAUAAGCGGAGGAAAAGAAACUAACAAGGAUUCCCCUAGUAACGGCGAGUGAAGCGGGAAGAGCUCAAAUUUGAAAUCUUAAAGGGUUUCCCUUUACGAAUUGUAGUUUAAAGAAGUGUUUUCUGUUGAGGUUUUGGUAAAAGUUCUUUGGAAUAGGACAUCAUAGAGGGUGAGAAUCCCGUAUUUGACCUUUACUUUCAACUUUGUGAUACACUUUCAAAGAGUCGGAUUGUUUGGGAAUGCAGUCCAAAAUGGGUGGUAAAUUUCAUCUAAAGCUAAAUAUUGGCGAGAGACCGAUAGCGAACAAGUACCGUGAGGGAAAGAUGAAAAGAACUUUGAAAAGAGAGUUAAACAGUACGUGAAAUUGUCAAAAGGGAAGCGUUUGACACCAGUGUUGUUUUUCUGAAAAUCAAUUAAAGAACUGUUUAUGCUAAGUUGUUUAGACUUUAUCAGCUAACUGUUUAGUUUUGAGCUUUUCUUUAAUGCACUUUUCAGUUAACAAGUCAACAUCAAUUUCUUUUGCUGUAAAAAAGCUUGAGGAAGGUGGCUUGAGAUUCGUCUUAAGUGUUUAUAGCCUCUUGCCUAUGCAGUCGGAGAGAUUGAGGUCUGCAGCGUAGAUCCUUCGGGGCUAAAUGCAUUUGUGCUAAGUUAUAGCAUUUUAUAGACAACUUGUUGACUAUGAUUUGUCUUGUAGCUUACUCGCUUAUGUUAUUUUACCUACGCUUAGGAUGUUGACAGCAGUAUAGACUGU